RNAcentral lists this ribosomal RNA (201 nucleotides) under uncultured bacterium. RNAcentral's name for it is "partial 16S ribosomal RNA". It matches the Rfam family "Bacterial small subunit ribosomal RNA", at positions 524 to 718 of the family's 1533-position model. The record is from RNAcentral.
UACGGGGGGGAGCAAGCGUUUGUUCGGAUUUACUGGGCGUAAAGGGCGCGUAGGCGGUCGUGACAAGUCACUUGUGAAAUCUCCGGGCUUAACUACCGGAACGGUCAAGUGAUACUCGUCGGACUAGAGUACAGAAGGGGCAACUGGAAUUCUCGGUGUAGCGGUGAAAUGCGUAGAUAUCGAGAGGAACACCUGCGGCGA